GUGAUGUCAUAGCGGCCGCUGUAACAGAAGUGAUGUUGCUGGGAUAACACACAGGCCGUGGUAUGGUUCCUGUCAGUAUUGAAAUGGUGAGGGUGGAUGACUUCAACCUACAGAACUACAACCACACUACAACUUCAUUCAUUCCAAUCCCUUUUAAGAGUCCACGGUUCUUUUAGCUACAGUUAGUUUUAGUUAAUGUAUUAGUGGCAAUAGAACUAGUCCCACUGUGUAUUAUUUUAAUUCUACUGAAAGCUCAACAAGCAGAAAAACAGCUAGCCAAACACUUCCUUUAAAAUAAAAAGCACCAAGAAUACGAAAGUGAAGUGAUUGCGAAACAAAAAUGGAACUAGAGUCAGUGUCCAUCAGGUGAAUGAAGCAGAGUGGAAGCACUACAAAUAAACUGGUAUCAUUCUUUCUCUUUGAAA
Molecule: long non-coding RNA, 425 nt
Organism: Aquila chrysaetos chrysaetos
Lineage: Eukaryota; Metazoa; Chordata; Aves; Accipitriformes; Accipitridae
Exons: 2
Source: RefSeq, a predicted model, not a curated record